This 506-nucleotide ribosomal RNA is filed under the name Enterococcus hirae. Its description in RNAcentral is "bacterial SSU rRNA". It matches the Rfam family "Bacterial small subunit ribosomal RNA", at positions 51 to 527 of the family's 1533-position model. Lineage: Bacteria; Bacillati; Bacillota; Bacilli; Lactobacillales; Enterococcaceae. The record is from RNAcentral.
AUACAUGCAGUCGACGCUUCUUUUUCCACCGGAGCUUGCUCCACCGGAAAAAGAGGAGUGGCGAACGGGUGAGUAACACGUGGGUAACCUGCCCAUCAGAAGGGGAUAACACUUGGAAACAGGUGCUAAUACCGUAUAACAAUCGAAACCGCAUGGUUUUGAUUUGAAAGGCGCUUUCGGGUGUCGCUGAUGGAUGGACCCGCGGUGCAUUAGCUAGUUGGUGAGGUAACGGCUCACCAAGGCGACGAUGCAUAGCCGACCUGAGAGGGUGAUCGGCCACAUUGGGACUGAGACACGGCCCAAACUCCUACGGGAGGCAGCAGUAGGGAAUCUUCGGCAAUGGACGAAAGUCUGACCGAGCAACGCCGCGUGAGUGAAGAAGGUUUUCGGAUCGUAAAACUCUGUUGUUAGAGAAGAACAAGGAUGAGAGUAACUGUUCAUCCCUUGACGGUAUCUAACCAGAAAGCCACGGCUAACUACGUGCCAGCAGCCGGCCGGGUAAUAAA